GGGGGUGUAGCUCAUAUGGUAGAACGCUCUCUUUGCAUGCGAGAGGCACGGGGUUUGAUUCCACGCACCUCCA
Transfer RNA from Ipomoea nil (Japanese morning glory), 73 nucleotides. It matches the Rfam family "tRNA". From Rfam's summary of the family: Transfer RNA (tRNA) molecules are approximately 80 nucleotides in length. Their secondary structure includes four short double-helical elements and three loops (D, anti-codon, and T loops). Lineage: Eukaryota; Viridiplantae; Streptophyta; Magnoliopsida; Solanales; Convolvulaceae. The record is from Rfam.